RNAcentral lists this ribosomal RNA (253 nucleotides) under uncultured bacterium. RNAcentral describes it as "partial 16S ribosomal RNA". It matches the Rfam family "Bacterial small subunit ribosomal RNA", at positions 524 to 776 of the family's 1533-position model. The record is from RNAcentral.
UACGGGGGGGGCAAGCGUUGUUCGGAAUUACUGGGCGUAAAGGGCUUGUAGGUGGCCAACUAAGUCAGACGUGAAAUCCCUCAGCUUAACUGGGGAACUGCAUCCGAUACUGGAUGGCUUGAGUUUGGGAGAGGGAUGCGGAAUUCCAGGUGUAGCGGUGAAAUGCGUAGAUAUCUGGAGGAACACCGGUGGCGAAGGCGGCAUCCUGGACCAACACUGACACUGAGGAGCGAAAGCCAGGGGAGCAAACGGG